UGGAGUGUGGUUGAUAUAAGCCAGUGUCACUCCAUUACAGAAAACUAAUUUUCCCUUUACCCAUGGGUGUCAAUUACAGAGAGCUUCUUGGUUAGGGGUGGGAAACUAUAACCAUUCCUUCCUCAAUUCUGGGACCAUGCAUAGCUUGAUCUAUGUAGCUCUUGUUUGUGCUGCCUGUUUCUGUGUUUUCACAUGAGCAUUCGUCUGUUUGUGUGUGAAAAACACUGUUUGCUUAGAGCCAUUCAUUGCCCCUGGCUCUUACAAUCUUUCUGCCUCCUCUUCUGCAUAGAUCCCUGAGCCUCGAGGGGAAGGAUUUGAUAAAGACAUUCCAUUUAGGGGGUUUUCUCUGUCCCCAUGGUGCUUUGUAUACUCAUUAAUUUAAAUUUGUGACCCAGGGAAGUUAUUCUGUACAAGUCUCAGUUUCCUCUCUGUAAAAUGAGACAAGGAUAACAAUGAGAGCCUUUGGAAGUCCAGUGUUCCCACUGUGAUGGAAGGACCAGCCUUAUUUUUCCAUGAAAAAGUGCACAGCAGAGGAAAAGCCAGCAUGAAAGUCUUCUUCAGCUGCCCUGGCUCUGCUAGCCAUUCAAGCCCACCUCAUUUGGUCCCAAAUAUCAAGCCAGAUUUGGCAUACCAUCUCUGAUAAAGGCUGAAGAUUUCAACUGCCAUAGAUGAGAAUGUCCAUUAUUAAUGAAUGACAAAGGUCAUGCAGACUGUUAGAGGUACCCUUCAAGGACUUCGGUCUUCUUGAAAAUCCCACAGACUGUGUAUGGAGAGAUCCUUUCCCACUCACCCUGUGUUCACUAAAUAUCUGCUAAAUGAACAUUUCAAAGCACAUUAAACCAGGAAGAUUAUAGAAUCAGAGGAUGUGGCAUGGGACUCUGACAAUAAAGCUGUUUAAACUGCACUUUCAGGAGGAGGGAAAAAAAAGACACACUGCUUGAUGGAAAUCAAAAUCAAUUUCCGAGUUUUUCACCACACAUACACAGAAAGAAAAGAACAUUUGGGACUGAGAGGGCAUCGAGCUUGUUUUAACUUUCCAUAGCUAGGAAGAUGCAGCUCCAGGAAGCCAGUCAUCUAAGACAGCCUGGCUCCAAGUCCAGACUAUUAACCACCACAUUUUUCCAAGUAACAAGUCAACAAAUGUCAAACAAUCCUUGUAAUGAUGAAUGUUGCAUCCUCACUAAGGAGAGGGAGCAAUCUCUAGUUCCAGGCCAAAGAAUCCACUUUGCUUUUCAUUGCAGAGGUCUUUGAAAUGGCAGUACACGAUAGCCACAGUGUACAGAAUGCCUGAAAACUGUGUUGAGUCAGCUAUGACUCUGCACUCAUUCUUUCCCACUACAU
This 1341-nucleotide long non-coding RNA is filed under the name Cricetulus griseus (Chinese hamster). RNAcentral's name for it is "lncRNA (ENSCGRG00015042010.1)". Lineage: Eukaryota; Metazoa; Chordata; Mammalia; Rodentia; Cricetidae. The record is from RNAcentral.